Molecule: ribosomal RNA, 291 nt
Filed under: uncultured bacterium
Lineage: Bacteria
Description: partial 16S ribosomal RNA
Rfam family: Bacterial small subunit ribosomal RNA
Source: RNAcentral
GUGGAUUAGAUACCCGGGUAGUCCACGCCCUAAACGAUGUCAACUAGGUGUUGGGUGGGUAAAACCAUUUAGUACCGGAGCUAACGCGUGAAGUUGACCGCCUGGGGAGUACGGCCGCAAGGUUAAAACUCAAAGGAAUUGACGGGGACCCGCACAAGCGGUGGAUGAUGUGGAUUAAUUCGAUGCAACGCGAAAAACCUUACCUACCCUUGACAUGUCAGAAACUUGGCAGAGAUGCCUUGGUGCCCGAAAGGGAAUCUGAACACAGGUGCUGCACGGCCGUCGACAGCU